RNAcentral lists this ribosomal RNA (253 nucleotides) under uncultured bacterium. Its description in RNAcentral is "partial 16S ribosomal RNA". It matches the Rfam family "Bacterial small subunit ribosomal RNA", at positions 524 to 776 of the family's 1533-position model. The record is from RNAcentral.
UACGAAGGGGGCUAGCGUUGCUCGGAAUCACUGGGCGUAAAGCGCACGUAGGCGGCUUUGUAAGUCAGGGGUGAAAUCCUGGAGCUCAACUCCAGAACUGCCUUUGAUACUGGAGAGCUUGAGUCCGGGAGAGGUGAGUGGAACUCCGAGUGUAGAGGUGAAAUUCGUAGAUAUUCGGAAGAACACCAGUGGCGAAGGCGGCUCACUGGCCCGGUACUGACGCUGAGGUGCGAAAGCGUGGGGAGCAAACAGG